This 25-nucleotide non-coding RNA is filed under the name Rattus norvegicus (Norway rat). Lineage: Eukaryota; Metazoa; Chordata; Mammalia; Rodentia; Muridae. The record is from RNAcentral.
UAAAUGAAAAAGGGCUACACGAUAC